CUCCCAUGUAGCCUGGCGGCGAAACCCGGCGGCCGCCCAAUCCCCGCCGCGCAGCUUGCCGCUGCGUUCGACGAGGGAGCCGGGGCACGGCAAGCCUGCCCCCCUAUAGAGAGACUGGUUCGGGGAUGCGGGCCAGUGGCGCGGCAACGUCGUGGGUGGUGGGGCAGACGCGCAUCUCUAGGACGACCCGGACGCCGCCGCCAUCCCAGCGCUCCUCGACUCCCGCUUCGACGGCGAGCAGGUCGACGCUCAAGCGCCUCCUCGUCCCCAUCUCGCGGGGAUUCUACGUCGCCCACCGCUUCCUGCAGGCGGUCAAGAACGUGCCGGCAUAGUCGCUUGAGAUGAAGAAGCUCGUCCACCUCUAACCGUUCCACCACGCCGAGAAGUUUAAAUCGCCGUGUAAGUGAAGGCGUAUUUCUCCUUCACGCCUUCGACGUCAACCCCCCUCCCCUUGGUGUAGUACUGUUUAAUCAGGCAGACCUGUUCUGGCCCACAAUACUAUUUCUCUUUUUUCUAAAAUCCAGGAAAGCAUUAUGUUUCGAAAGAUUCAAGGACGUUCAAGGAGUGACCAAAACCAUUGAAGACUUUGCUGAGCGAGGCAAGCAAUCUACUUUGAUCAUGUUGAACCCAUAUUUGCAUUACACUUAGAAUUAUUUUUCAUGCAUAAAGUAUUGUUUACUAGUAUUGCUAUGUUAAGUAAAUUAGCUAGGGUUUAGCUAUGCCCUAUGUCCUUGAUAUUGACACACCUUUGACA
Triticum dicoccoides is the source of this 754-nucleotide long non-coding RNA. RefSeq lists it as uncharacterized. The record is from RefSeq and is a predicted model, not a curated record. The transcript is spliced from 4 exons. Lineage: Eukaryota; Viridiplantae; Streptophyta; Magnoliopsida; Poales; Poaceae.